GACGUUAGCGGCGGACGGGUGAGUAACACGUGGAUAACCCACCUAUAAGACUGGGAUAACUUCGGGAAACCGGAGCUAAUACCGGAUAAUAUAUUGAACCGCAUGGUUCAAUAGUGAAAGACGGUUUUGCUGUCACUUAUAGAUGGAUCCGCGCCGCAUUAGCUAGUUGGUAAGGUAACGGCUUACCAAGGCAACGAUGCGUAGCCGACCUGAGAGGGUGAUCGGCCACACUGGAACUGAGACACGGUCCAGACUCCUACGGGAGGCAGCAGUAGGGAAUCUUCCGCAAUGGGCGAAAGCCUGACGGAGCAACGCCGCGUGAGUGAUGAAGGUCUUCGGAUCGUAAAACUCUGUUAUUAGGGAAGAACAAAUGUGUAAGUAACUAUGCACGUCUUGACGGUACCUAAUCAGAAAGCCACGGCUAACUACGUGCCAGCAGCCGCGGUAAUACGUAGGUGGCAAGCGUUAUCCGGAAUUAUUGGGCGUAAAGCGCGCGUAGGCGGUUUUUUAAGUCUGAUGUGAAAGCCCACGGCUCAACCGUGGAGGGUCAUUGGAACUGGAAAACUUGAGUGCAGAAGAGGAAAGUGGAACUUCCAUGUGUAGCGGUGAAAUGCGCAGAGAUAUGGAGGACACCAGUGGCGAAGGCGACUUUCUGGUCU
Molecule: ribosomal RNA, 659 nt
Filed under: uncultured Staphylococcus sp.
Lineage: Bacteria; Bacillati; Bacillota; Bacilli; Caryophanales; Staphylococcaceae
Description: bacterial SSU rRNA
Rfam family: Bacterial small subunit ribosomal RNA
Source: RNAcentral